AAGGAGCUGUGGGACAGGAGCUCAUGCCCAGAACCGAGUUGUGCCCUGCUGAGCUCUCUGCCACGUACUUAACAGGAUGAAGAACCUUUCAUUUCUCCUCCUUUUCCUUUUCUUCCUUGUCCUGGGGCUGCUGGGCCCCAGCAUGUCACUGUGUCCCAUGGAUGAAGCCAUCAGCAAGAAGAUCAAUCAAGACUUCAGCUCCCUACGUGAGGAUCCCCCCAUCCAACCUUACUGAGGGCCUCACAGACUAGCCUCAGCCUCAAACUCACCCUGUCUACAAGCUCCGACCCAACCUCGAACUGCCUUACCUUGACCAUGGUUCCAACCCACAACCUAGCUUCUUCCAACCAUUACCCCCAAACCUCCUCUCACUCCAAAAGGCCCCACUCUGUGGUCCACGGAGCCUCCAGUGCCUGAAUCUCUUGCCUCAGCCCCCUGAGUGUUUGGAGCCACCGUGCUGGGCUCUCUGGGGGCAAAAUAUUUUUCUGCAAACAUGUAUGCUGUUCAUGUCUGUGUAUGUGUGUUUAUAUAUGUGGUGCACGACGUAAGUGAAGGCACGCGUGUGUGCUUAGGCAUGUGGAGGCUUGAAGCUGAUGUAGUGCUGUCAUCCCACUCUCAGUUGAACCCAGGGCUUGUGGGUUUGUGAUCAUCUCUUUAGCCAUCAUGCUCUGGGCCUCCCUGUCUGCCUGUCUCCUGAAUGCUAGGAUUAUAGGUGCCCCCACACCAUG
RNAcentral lists this long non-coding RNA (728 nucleotides) under Rattus norvegicus (Norway rat). RNAcentral describes it as "long non-coding RNA NONRATT007220". The record is from RNAcentral. Lineage: Eukaryota; Metazoa; Chordata; Mammalia; Rodentia; Muridae.